GAAGCCACGGCUAACUACGUGCCAGCAGCCGCGGUAAUACGUAGGUGGCAAGCGUUGUCCGGAAUUACUGGGCGUAAAGAAUGCGUAGGUGGUUUUUUAAGUGGGAUGUGAAAUCCCUGGGCUCAACCCAGGAACUGCAUUCCAAACUGGAUAACUAGAGUGCGGGAGAGGAAAAUGGAAUUCCCAGUGUAGCGGUGAAAUGCGUAGAGAUUGGGAGGAACACCAGUGGCGAAGGCGAUUUUCUGGAACGUAACUGACGCUGAGGCAUGAAAGCGUGGGGAGCAAACAGGAUUAGAUACCCUGGUAGUCCACGCCGUAAACGAUGAGUACUAGGUGUAGG
RNAcentral lists this ribosomal RNA (340 nucleotides) under uncultured bacterium. RNAcentral's name for it is "bacterial SSU rRNA". It matches the Rfam family "Bacterial small subunit ribosomal RNA", at positions 487 to 826 of the family's 1533-position model. The record is from RNAcentral.